RNAcentral lists this ribosomal RNA (336 nucleotides) under uncultured soil bacterium. RNAcentral describes it as "bacterial SSU rRNA". It matches the Rfam family "Bacterial small subunit ribosomal RNA", at positions 26 to 360 of the family's 1533-position model. The record is from RNAcentral.
AGAUUGAACGCUGGCGGCAGGCCUAACACAUGCAAGUCGAGCGGCAGCACGGGUACUUGUACCUGGUGGCGAGCGGCGGACGGGUGAGUAAUGCCUAGGAAUCUGCCUGGUAGUGGGGGAUAACGCUCGGAAACGGACGCUAAUACCGCAUACGUCCUACGGGAGAAAGCAGGGGACCUUCGGGCCUUGCGCUAUCAGAUGAGCCUAGGUCGGAUUAGCUAGUUGGUGAGGUAAUGGCUCACCAAGGCGACGAUCCGUAACUGGUCUGAGAGGAUGAUCAGUCACACUGGAACUGAGACACGGUACCAGACUCCUACGGGAGGCAGCGAGUGGGGG